AGGGUUUGAUCAUGGCUCAGGAUGAACGCUGGCGGCGUGCUUAACACAUGCAAGUCGAACGAACCUUCGGGUUAGUGGCGGACGGGUGAGUAACGCGUGAGAAUCUGCCCUCAGGAGGGGGACAACAGCUGGAAACGGCUGCUAAUACCCCAUAUGCCGCGAGGUGAAAUGAAUUUCGCCUGAGGAUGAGCUCGCGUCUGAUUAGCUAGUUGGUGUGGGUAAUGGCUCACCAAGGCAUCGAUCAGUAGCUGGUCUGAGAGGAUGAUCAGCCACACUGGGACUGAGACACGGCCCAGACUCCUACGGGAGGCAGCAGUGGGGAAUUUUCCGCAAUGGGCGAAAGCCUGACGGAGCAACGCCGCGUGAGGGAUGAAGGCCUCUGGGCUGUAAACCUCUUUUAUCAAGGAAGAAGAUCUGACGGUACUUGAUGAAUAAGCCACGGCUAGUUCCGUGCCAGCAGCCGCGGUAAUACGGGAGUGGCAAGCGUUAUCCGGAAUUAUUGGGCGUAAAGCGUCCGCAGGCGGCCCUUCAAGUCUGCUGUUAAAAAGUGGAGCUUAACUCCAUCAUGGCAGUGGAAACUGUUGGGCUUGAGUGUGGUAGGGGCAGAGGGAAUUCCUGGUGUAGCGGUGAAAUGCGUAGAUAUCGGGAAGAACACCAGUGGCGAAGGCGCUCUGCUGGGCCAUCACUGACGCUCAUGGACGAAAGCCAGGGGAGCGAAAGGGAUUAGAUACCCCUGUAGUCCUGGCCGUAAACGAUGAACACUAGGUGUCGGGGGAAUCGACCCCCUCGGUGUCGUAGCCAACGCGUUAAGUGUUCCGCCUGGGGAGUACGCACGCAAGUGUGAAACUCAAAGGAAUUGACGGGGGCCCGCACAAGCGGUGGAGUAUGUGGUUUAAUUCGAUGCAACGCGAAGAACCUUACCAGGGUUUGACAUCCUGCGAAUCUCUUGGAAACAGGAGAGUGCCUUCGGGAACGCAGUGACAGGUGGUGCAUGGCUGUCGUCAGCUCGUGUCGUGAGAUGUUGGGUUAAGUCCCGCAACGAGCGCAACCCACGUCUUUAGUUGCCAGCAUUUAGUUGGGCACUCUAGAGUGACUGCCGGUGAUAAACCGGAGGAAGGUGUGGAUGACGUCAAGUCAUCAUGCCCCUUACAUCCUGGGCUACACACGUACUACAAUGCUACGGACAAAGGGCAGCAAGUUCGCGAGGACAAGCAAAUCCCAUAAACCGUGGCUCAGUUCAGAUCGUAGGCUGUAACUCGCCUACGUGAAGGCGGAAUCGCUAGUAAUCGCAGGUCAGCAUACUGCGGUGAAUACGUUCCCGGGCCUUGUACACACCGCCCGUCACACCAUGGAAGUUGGCCACGCCCGAAGCCGUUACUCCAACCCUUGUGGAGGAGGACGUCGAAGGUGGGGCUGAUGACUGGGGUGAAGUCGUAACAAGGUAACCAAGGG
Molecule: ribosomal RNA, 1452 nt
Filed under: uncultured bacterium
Lineage: Bacteria
Description: bacterial SSU rRNA
Rfam family: Bacterial small subunit ribosomal RNA
Source: RNAcentral